RNAcentral lists this ribosomal RNA (319 nucleotides) under uncultured bacterium. Its description in RNAcentral is "bacterial SSU rRNA". It matches the Rfam family "Bacterial small subunit ribosomal RNA", at positions 28 to 334 of the family's 1533-position model. The record is from RNAcentral.
GAUAAACGCUAGCGGCAGGCCUAACACAUGCAAGUCGAGGGGCAGCGUAAGGAGUAGCAAUACUUUUUGACGGCGACCGGCGCACGGGUGCGUAACGCGUAUGCAACCUACCGUUCACAGGGGGGAUAGUCAGAGGAAACUUUGAAUAAUACCGCAUAAAACAAUUGAUCGGCAUCGAUUGGUUGUUAAGGUGGCGACACGGUGAACGAUGGGCAUGCGUUCGAUUAGAUAGUAGGCGGGGUAACGGCCCACCUAGUCUUCGAUGGAUAGGGGUUCUGAGAGGAAGGCCCCCCCACAUUGGAACUGAGACACGGUCCAA